Drosophila melanogaster (fruit fly) is the source of this 107-nucleotide non-coding RNA. NCBI's taxonomy places the organism in Eukaryota, Metazoa, Arthropoda, Insecta, Diptera, Drosophilidae. The record is from Ensembl.
GCCUGCAUAACGCUGUGGCUUUCCGCUUCUAUUUUUCGUUCACUGCCUUGUGCUUCGUUGGAAAAUCGGUGAGCUAAAAAUAGAAUUCGGUUGCCACGCUUCAAGGG